UCCUCAUGGAACCAGAAUCUAUAAAGUGGUGCUUAAGACUGGAGAAAGUCUGGAGGAAUUCUUAUUAUAAAGAUGUUUCUUAAAACCAAGAAAUUCCUUUCCUGAUGCUGAAUUGUUCCCAUUCAUAGUGGAGGACAGGAGUGAAGGAUCAAAUCCAGCUUUCAGGCUUGUCUUCUUUCUCCCUGAAAUGCUUUAUUACAGAACUCAAUUAAGAGCAAAUUUCCCCCUCCAACUUACAUCUAACAAGGUCAUGCCUGCCUUUAUGAAAUAUUGAAUCUGCAGCUGCAGGAUUUAUUACAACAGUAUUUUAAAACACAUGAUGCUGGUGCAGCAUCUCUAAUUAGAAAUGCCCUGAGCUCACUGUGCAGGCCAAGUGUUGUUUCCAAACUGCAGCAUCCACAUCAAGAGGCAAGUUUAUACAUGUUGGAAGGACAAAGAGAGAUACCUGUGGGAAAAAACUGGAGUCUGCUGAGAAGUGCUGCUGUGCUGUUAUUUCUUACUUCUUUAAUUUGAAUUAGCUCAGUUUGAGACAGAUUUUUGCCUCAGUAGCAUUACUGAGUUGCAGCAGUUUAGUGGAGAGGGAAGAUCAGGGCUAAAAUCUUCAGCUUUGUGUUACAGUGUGACCAAUUACAUACUUUGCCACAGUGGCCAGUAAGAAGUAAUUAAAAUGGAAGAUGGACUGAUGCUGGAUGUUUAUCACAGUAAGGCUGCUCUGUUUCCCUUGUGAGGAAAUCUAGCAGGCAGACACAGGAAAAGACAGGAGAUGAAUACACCAGAAGAGUUCUGUUGUACACUACAAAUUGCCCACUGCGGUACCAGACAGCCUGUGUUGAUCACACACCUAAAGAACAUCUCUUUUCCUUGAAUAUGAAACAUGGCAAGCCACUGUAGGAGGGCUCAGGAUUGACACUGCUGUCCUGCAGGGAUAAUUAGGAAUUUACCAAAGCAGAGCAACUGACGCCUUGAGAGACAGCAGAGAGAAGGACCAGUGCCAAGUUAAACUGAUCUGCAGAAUGCCAGGUUAUCUGUGAGAGAAGGCUCGUCAGCGUCAGUUUUCAGUGCAAUGGGAUGAUGCUCUGAGGAGACACUGAAGAGCUGUGAAGAGCUGGGAGGUGGCAGGUACAGGGGGGAGCAGCUCCUGGCUUCCCUGGAACAUCCCCCUGAAGCUGACAUUUAUGGCCUUUACUACAGAGAGGAAAACAAGAACUGAAGUAACUCCAGCACCUGGGAUAUGUUUGAGAAAUGGAGAAAUCUGUGUGAUGAAAGCACCUGCUGAAACUUCCCCCAUGCACCCAGAGAGAUGCUCUCUUGAGUUCCUCCCCUCUAUCAUUGUGAAAUCAUUCAUCUUCUAAAUUAUUUUUGUAGAUGACUGCUGAAUCAUGCACAGAAACUCUCAUAGAAGGGAGAGCAAAGACUUCCUCAGACAGUGCUCGGCAGUGAAGGAUGGUUGAAUGGACUUUCCUGGCUGCUGCUGCAGAGAAGGCUCAGGACAUGCAGUUUCCCACAAGGAUGCAUACUGCUCCGCAAUGGUUCUACAAAUCCUGCUGUGCACCCCACCCAAAGCCCCACUGAGGAGGGUCGCUGCUGAUGGGGGCGGGGGGUGUGCACGGCUCCACCUCCUUUGCUCCUGAGCACUUUCUGCUGCUGGCUUUGCCUCUCUACCUGCUGUUUAUAAAUGUUUUACAGAAUCUGCUUCCUUGAAACCAAAGUGAAGCAACAGCUGUGUUUGCAUCAAGUUGCAACAUCUCCUUGCUAGAUGGAGGCACAUCUUGUCACAAGUGGCACUGGUAGUGAAAGAACCUGCCUGGCUGGGAGCUGCUCACUCCUCUGAGUUUUUCAAGGACCCUAUCUGCAGUGCUACAGCCAGAUGUGUCUUGGGAUGCAAUCAAAUUCUAGAUCUUUUCAGCUGAAAGCUAGAUGAGCGAGGAACAGGCAUUUUCACACAGCAGAGAGUUGCCUCAAGAAGAAGCUUUGAAUGCGGUGCCAGCACAACAGCAGCGAGAGAAAAUAAGACAAGUACCUCCACGAUGCAAUAAAUACUACUGCUAUUUCCUAUUGUUCAUCUGAA
Non-coding RNA from Cyanistes caeruleus (blue tit), 2068 nucleotides. The record is from RefSeq and is a predicted model, not a curated record. Lineage: Eukaryota; Metazoa; Chordata; Aves; Passeriformes; Paridae.